CCUACGGGAGGCUGCAGUGGGGAAUAUUGCACAAUGGGGGAAACCCUGAUGCAGCGACGCCGCGUGAGUGAAGAAGUAUUUCGGUAUGUAAAGCUCUAUCAGCAGGGAAGAUAAUGACGGUACCUGACUAAGAAGCUCCGGCUAACUACGUGCCAGCAGCCGCGGUAAUACGUAGGGGGCAAGCGUUAUCCGGAUUUACUGGGUGUAAAGGGAGCGUAGGUGGCAGGGCAAGUCAGAUGUGAAAACCCGGGGCUCAACCCCGGGAGUGCAUUUGAAACUGUCCAGCUGGAGUGCAGGAGAGGUAAGCGGAAUUCCUAGUGUAGCGGUGAAAUGCUUAGAUAUCACGAAGAACUCCGAUUGCGAAGGCAGCCUACUAAACUGCCACUGACAUUGAUGCUCGAAAGUGUGGGUAUCAAACAGGAUUAGAUACCCUAGUAGUC
This 440-nucleotide ribosomal RNA is filed under the name uncultured bacterium. RNAcentral describes it as "partial 16S ribosomal RNA". It matches the Rfam family "Bacterial small subunit ribosomal RNA", at positions 338 to 795 of the family's 1533-position model. The record is from RNAcentral.